Molecule: ribosomal RNA, 300 nt
Filed under: uncultured Slackia sp.
Lineage: Bacteria; Bacillati; Actinomycetota; Coriobacteriia; Eggerthellales; Eggerthellaceae
Description: bacterial SSU rRNA
Rfam family: Bacterial small subunit ribosomal RNA (bases 56-300)
Source: RNAcentral
GGUCAGCGGAUGGGCAUGAGAGGGUGGAGUACGGAGGGUGGAGAGGUGGUAAGGGAUUCUUGGGGGUAAAGGUAUGGUCUGGUGCUUGGCACGGCUGCUGAGAAGACGAGGGGCUCAACGCCGAGCGGGCAGGGGAGACGGGCGAGAUAGAGGGCGGGUUGGUGGACUGGAAUUCCUGGUGUAGCGGUGAAAGGCGCAGAUAUCAGGAGGAACACCGGUGGCGAAGGCGGGUCUCUGGACCGAUACUGACGCUGAGGAGCGAAAGCGUGGGGAGCGAACAGGAUUAGAUACCCAGUAGUC